RNA transcript from Alosa alosa (allis shad), 1568 nucleotides. It is a transcript of the gene named protein lifeguard 3, with no coding region annotated. NCBI's taxonomy places the organism in Eukaryota, Metazoa, Chordata, Actinopteri, Clupeiformes, Clupeidae. The record is from RefSeq and is a predicted model, not a curated record. The transcript is spliced from 13 exons.
AUUGGCCCCUGUAUCCAGGAAAUGCCGAGCACCAGGCAUAUCAUCUGUCAGUGGGGUCAUUCGCACUGGAGAGCCACCACUUGAGGGGAAAGGAGUUUGGGUUCUGCAAUUUGUUCAGAAACUGUUAGGCGAUAAGUUGUGCACACAACAUAAUGUGGAAAUCCGACUUACCACCCAGCUAUGAAGAAUCCAGGAAUCACCAGUACAGCCAUCAACAUGGCAUGUACCCUCAGCCUCCCGGAUAUGGGUACCCUGCCUACGGAGUUCCACCUCAGCCAGCAAUGCCCUAUCCCAGCCAGCCAGGCACCCAGCCACACACUGGGAUGAGACAGGGGCCUGGCUUUCCAGCAUCCGGCUUUCCAUCCAUUAUUCCCACAUUUUUGUCUUCGCCAAUUCCCAACAACAGUCCAAACAUGGGAGAGACUGACGUCUUUGCCUCGGCUGGCGUUUGGGAAAGUCGAUCAGUUCGUCAUGCAUUCAUACGGAAAGUCUACUUGAUUUUAGCAGCUCAGCUGAUUGUCACCGUCUCUAUUGUGGCAGUAUUUGUUUUUGUUCAUCCUGUUCGUCUGUUUGUGGUCCAAAAUCCAGGCGUGUAUUGGGCGUCAAUUGUUCUUUACCUUGUGACCUACCUGGUUCUGGUAUGCUGUGAGGGGCCUAGGAGACGCUUCCCAUUGAAUUUGGUCCUCCUCGCUGUUUUUACACUUGCCAUGUCUUACAUGACAGGAACAAUAUCAAGUUACUAUGACACCAAGGCAGUGUUUCUGGCUCUCAUAAUAACUGCUGUCGUGUGCGUCAUUGUCACCAUCUUCUGUUUUCAGACCAAGGUAGAUUUCACCUCUUGCACUGGCCUCUUCUUUGUGCUUGCCAUGGUUGUACUGGUCACAGGAAUCAUCACAGCUAUCGUGCUCUCAUUCCAAUAUGUGCCCUGGCUUCACAUGCUCUAUGCAGCGAUUGGAGCCAUUGUCUACACACUGUUCUUGGCGUACGACACCCAGUUGCUCAUAGGAAACCGAUCAUAUGCCAUCAGCCCAGAGGAGUAUAUCUUUGGAGCGCUGUCGCUCUAUGUUGACAUUGUCCAGAUCUUUACCUUUCUUUUACAACUCACUGGGUCCUCGUCAGAUUAGGCGGAUGAACCCAUCUCCAAGAAAGAGAAAAAAAAGUGUUUUAAAUUACCUCAUGAGUUGGUGCACACAAUGAUAGACAUUUUAAUAGGCUGAAUGCCUGAAAACAAGAUCAAAUACAUCUGUACUACCAAUUAAGGUGAAACUGCUUUACGCAUAAUUAUAAUUCAAUCAUUUAUGUACCAACAAAUCUCACUGAGCCAUUUUAGAAUAUCAAUGUAUUAAACAACAAUGAUGGCUUUUUAAACUUGUUACUGUUACAUACCAAAGGCAUACAGCUAUACAUUUCAUCACUUAAGGAUACAAUGAAGUAUUCCUUAAAUAAUCUAAAGGGUACCAACAAAUGCAGCCACAAGUGUACAUUGUGGUCAUCCAACCGUCCGCAUACAACACUGUACAUCCCUAAUUAUGAAAUAUUUUAUGUCAUCUCAAGACGAAGAUGACAGA